This is a long non-coding RNA of Suricata suricatta (meerkat), 455 nucleotides long. RefSeq lists it as uncharacterized. The transcript has 5 exons. Lineage: Eukaryota; Metazoa; Chordata; Mammalia; Carnivora; Herpestidae. The record is from RefSeq and is a predicted model, not a curated record.
CUCCAACAGGUUCUGUGUCUUGGCUGGCUGUGUGCUGUAGAAGUUUCCUGAAUUUUUCUAGAGUUACUAUGAAGGGCAACAAGGGUGAAACGUACAGAUAGCGCCUAGCGAGAUUCCUAGCAUGGGUACCAAUCAUUCCUGACAUGCCUUGAAUUCAAGGGCCAAGAGAGGUUAUACAGAUGCUCAACAAAGGAGCAGUAAGAGUCCAGCUUAAUGCUGAGAUACAAGGAUGUUGCAGAAACCAAGCCUCCUCCGUGGCCCCACCCAACAGAGGGCCCAGGGAACAGGCAACAGCUCUCACUGGCAACAGAGGUAGGCACUGACCCUGGUUGGACCAGCUUCAGAGUAACCCGUUCCUUGGAUCAAUAUAAGUCUUCUCCUCCGAUUUUCCUAUCUGGAAGUGGAAAAAAGGAAAAAUAGGUGAAAAAUCUGAACAGCAAAGAAGAUCUACAGAU